Molecule: long non-coding RNA, 1084 nt
Organism: Bos taurus (domestic cattle)
Lineage: Eukaryota; Metazoa; Chordata; Mammalia; Artiodactyla; Bovidae
Source: Ensembl
CAAGACAGAGUCUGACCAUCGCAGUACACACCCUUUUGGCUUUUGAUGUUCUGAAUCGGGGGUCUGGGCCUGCUCCAGGGGUUAGGGGCCCUGGGGUGAUGGUCAGGAGCUGACAUUGUUCACCACUCAUUCUGACCUCAGUGGUACCCAGCCCAGUGCCCACAGACACUGUUAUCCCAUUUCACAGGUGGAGAAAGUAAGGAUCCGAAAGGGGAGUCAGCUUAGCCACGGCCCUGUAAUAGAGUCAGACACAGGGCUCAGGUCUGGAGUGGCCAGAAACCCGCCCUUCCCACUCUCUGGGGACUGGCAAGAGGAGGCACAAGCUGGGCCAGAUGGGACUGAGGAUAUGGACCCCAGUAAGAAGCAGAUCCAUGUCAAGAGCUCCAGGCUGUCAGGCCGCAGAGUCCCUGUGCUUUUGUGACACCCCAGGGACAGCCCCCACCCCCAGAGCUGCCUCAGCCUCACUCUGGGCCGUGACUCUGCCUCCAUGCCCAGUUCCCUCCAGGAAGCCUUCUCUGGCAGGCGGAUUCUUGACCACUGAGCCACCUGGGAAGCCCUCUACUCCUGACACUCUUAUCUGCCUGUGCAUCACUGACUCUCAGCAAGUCCCUAUCCUCUGACCAUGCCUCCACCACCGCCUGAGACUUCCCUUUGGGAUUUUGCACUCUGCAUCCAUCCUGAGCACUCAUGGCUCCACGGUCCCUCUCCAGGACUUCUCACCUCCAUGCCCUUUCCUGUGCCAUUCCUGACACCUGGCAAUCCUUCCCCCAGUCCCCCUUGUACAGGUUUCGAUUUUACGAUUCAUCUGUUAUUUCUGCAUUCAUUUAUCCAUAACAAAUGCUUUACCACGUGUCUACUCUGUAUCCAGCUCUGGGCCAGGUACUUUCACAGAAGUUACCAAUCCUCAUGCCAGCCUUCCAAGGGCGAGAGUGUUAUCUGCAUUUUAUGGAGGAAGCAACUGGGGCUCAGAGAGGUUAAGUCACUUGCCUAAGACAACCUGGCUGGCAAGCGGCAGAGCUGGGAUUUGGCACCAACUUGCCAGCCUCUGGAGCCUAGCCUUCUCCAGAAUGCUCUGUCUUGCGUG